GUCUAUGGCCAUAGCACCCUGAGCACACCCAAUCUCCUGUGAUCUCAGAAGCUAAGUAAGGUCAGGCUUGUUUAGAACUUGGAUGAGAAACUGGGAGUUAUCAAACUAGACUCCAUAAAUA
This 121-nucleotide ribosomal RNA is filed under the name Nannospalax galili (Upper Galilee mountains blind mole rat). The record is from RNAcentral. Lineage: Eukaryota; Metazoa; Chordata; Mammalia; Rodentia; Spalacidae.